Molecule: ribosomal RNA, 253 nt
Filed under: uncultured bacterium
Lineage: Bacteria
Description: partial 16S ribosomal RNA
Rfam family: Bacterial small subunit ribosomal RNA
Source: RNAcentral
UACAGAGGGGGCAAGCGUUAUUCGGAAUUAUUGGGCGUAAAGGGCGCGUAGGCGGCCUGGCAAGUGACGGGUGAAAUCCCUCGGCUUAACCGAGGAACUGCCUGUCAGACUGCUUGGCUUGAGACCGGGAGAGGUGAGUGGAAUUCCCAGUGUAGCGGUGAAGUGCGUAGAUAUUGGGAGGAACACCAGUGGCGAAGGCGGCUCACUGGACCGGUACUGACGCUGAGGCGCGAAAGCGUGGGGAGCAAACAGG